GCCCAACUGGCUCAGCCUGUAGAGCAUGUGACUCUUGAUCUCGGGGUGUGAGUUUGAGCCUCACGUUGGGUG
Molecule: transfer RNA, 72 nt
Filed under: Felis catus (domestic cat)
Lineage: Eukaryota; Metazoa; Chordata; Mammalia; Carnivora; Felidae
Rfam family: tRNA
About the family: Transfer RNA (tRNA) molecules are approximately 80 nucleotides in length.
Source: Rfam by way of RNAcentral